GACGAACGCUGGCGGCGUGCUUAACACAUGCAAGUCGAACGGUGAAGCUCCAGCUUGCUGGAGUGGAUCAGUGGCGAACGGGUGAGUAACACGUGAGCAACCUGCCCCUGACUAUGGCAUAAGCGCUGGAAACGGCGUCUAAUACUGGAUACGAGAAGGGUCCGCAUGGGCACUUUCUGGAAAGAUUUUCGGUUGGGGAUGGGCUCGCGGCCUAUCAGCUUGUUGGUGAGGUAAUGGCUCACCAAGGCGACGACGGGUAGCCGGCCUGAGAGGGCGACCGGCCACACUGGGACUGAGACACGGCCCAGAAUCCUACGGGAGGCAGCAGUGGGGAAUAUUGCACAAUGGGCGAAAGCCUGAUGCAGCGACGCCGCGUGAGGGAUGACGGCCUUCGGGUUGUAAACCUCUUUCAGCAGGGAAGAAGCGAAAGUGACGGUACCUGCAGAAGAAGCACCGGCUAACUACGUG
This 468-nucleotide ribosomal RNA is filed under the name uncultured bacterium. Its description in RNAcentral is "partial 16S ribosomal RNA". It matches the Rfam family "Bacterial small subunit ribosomal RNA", at positions 28 to 507 of the family's 1533-position model. The record is from RNAcentral.